UCUUGCACAAUGGGGGAAACCCUGACGCAGCGACGCCGCGUGGGCGAAGAAGUAUUUCGGUAUGUAAAGCUCUAUCAGCAGGGAAGAAAGAAAUGACGGUACCUGAGUAAGAAGCCCCGGCUAACUACGUGCCAGCAGCCGCGGUAAUACGUAGGGGGCAAGCGUUAUCCGGAAUUACUGGGUGUAAAGGGAGCGUAGACGGUGAUGUAAGUCUGGAGUGAAAGGCGGGGGCCCAACCCCCGGACUGCUCUGGAAACUAUGUGACUGGAGUGCAGGAGAGGUGAGCGGAAUUCCUAGUGUAGCGGUGAAAUGCGUAGAUAUUAGGAGGAACACCAGUGGCGAAGGCGGCUUACUGGACAAUAACUGACGCUGAGGCUCGAAAGCGUGGGGAGCAAACAGG
Molecule: ribosomal RNA, 400 nt
Filed under: uncultured bacterium
Lineage: Bacteria
Description: bacterial SSU rRNA
Rfam family: Bacterial small subunit ribosomal RNA
Source: RNAcentral